Non-coding RNA from Drosophila melanogaster (fruit fly), 92 nucleotides. The record is from Ensembl. NCBI's taxonomy places the organism in Eukaryota, Metazoa, Arthropoda, Insecta, Diptera, Drosophilidae.
UAAUGCACAUAAUAAAUGCCAACCAUUCAUCAUGAAAUUAUAAAUAGUAUCAUUUCAAGAUGCAUGGUAAGGCUUUAUUUUGUUUUGCAAUC